Pipistrellus kuhlii (Kuhl's pipistrelle) is the source of this 158-nucleotide long non-coding RNA. RefSeq lists it as uncharacterized. The record is from RefSeq and is a predicted model, not a curated record. Lineage: Eukaryota; Metazoa; Chordata; Mammalia; Chiroptera; Vespertilionidae. The transcript has 3 exons.
AAGUUCUUUCCUCCCUGACUGAGCAUUGACUCAUUAGGUCUUCUUAUCCUCAGACAGAAGUGAGGGCCAAGAACAGGUAACAGGUACAAGGAAUGUCCCUGGACAUGAAGAGGAGCCAACUGUGUGAGGACAGAGACGAGGCCUGCUGAGUGAGUUCU